AUGUUCACAAGGUUACUGCAUAAUAACAACAUCUCAGGCAAAAUACCACUGGAACUUGGAAACUUUCCCAAGCUUCCGACUUUAGAUCUUUCAAGCUGCUUUGUGGUGCUUUCAACAACGGAGACAUUGUCACCAAGGAUUCUAACAUAUUCUACAAUGCAAACUGCUUUAUUAAUUUUACUAUGUUUUUACACCUCUAUUCUAGGAAUUCUCAAACAAGAUCCUAACAUAUUGGUUGUUCACAUAAAUGAGCUACUACAGGUUCUAUCUUUUUCACUGACACUUGAUAGAAGAAUCAUUAUUUUUAGUUUUUCCAGUCAUUAG
Molecule: non-coding RNA, 324 nt
Organism: Vicia faba (fava bean)
Lineage: Eukaryota; Viridiplantae; Streptophyta; Magnoliopsida; Fabales; Fabaceae
Source: the annotation of a GenBank genome assembly